CUGACAGUGCUUUGUUGUCGCUUGCAUGUGCAGUCACGAAGAAAAACUUUAACACGUUUGUAAGAGAAGCAGAAAAGUUGACCUGCAGACUCCUGCCCGUAUUUGCUUUAAAGUCAAAUUUGGAUGCACAGGAAGGCUUCAGGUGAGGGGUCGUGAUUGGUGUCCGGUUACAAAGCGUCACUGGGGUCUGAUCGGGAGCCAGAGACCACGGAACUACAGCAAAAUGUAGGCUCGGUCUUUCUGGGUCUCACUUUUAAAACUGGAGAAGACGAGGCAAAAAGGUUUUGCUCCAAUCACCAAUGCCGCCGCCCCAUCGUCCGUGAACCGUCGCUAGCCGCUCCCUGCAAUCACCGUGCCUCGACUUGGGGCCUUCUGGAAGGAGAAGUUUUAAGUCAAGUAUUUGAUUUUCGCACGCCUUUCAACAGGAACAUUCCAUGUGUUCUAUCCUUCAUUCCACCGGAGUCUGUAUCUGUACAUAACCAGAUUUCAGUGGCGUGAAGUGUACGAGACAUGGAGGCUGCACACCAGACCACCAGCUAAAGAAGGCGCUCUUCUCAGUGUAGUUCCGAACACUUCUCAAGUCGUUAGCGCACUAUAUUUUUGCAGACCAUGAGGUGCUUGAGCAUUUGCAUUACUUGAAAUUUCUGACCUUUCUUUCAGUGUCUCGUGUUCGAUCUGCAUAAAGUGAAACUGAAUUGUGGUGUUAUGGUGCAAAAAUAAAAAACUCCCUACAUCUUA
This is a long non-coding RNA of Syngnathus typhle (broad-nosed pipefish), 738 nucleotides long. RefSeq lists it as uncharacterized. NCBI's taxonomy places the organism in Eukaryota, Metazoa, Chordata, Actinopteri, Syngnathiformes, Syngnathidae. The transcript has 2 exons. The record is from RefSeq and is a predicted model, not a curated record.